RNAcentral lists this transfer RNA (72 nucleotides) under Capra hircus (goat). It matches the Rfam family "tRNA". Rfam says of the family: Transfer RNA (tRNA) molecules are approximately 80 nucleotides in length. Their secondary structure includes four short double-helical elements and three loops (D, anti-codon, and T loops). The record is from Rfam by way of RNAcentral. Lineage: Eukaryota; Metazoa; Chordata; Mammalia; Artiodactyla; Bovidae. RNAcentral also lists the same sequence under 1 other name.
UCUUUAGUGGCUCAGAUGGUAAAGAAUCUGCCUUCAGUGCAGGAGACCCAGGUUCAACCCCUGGGUUGAGAA